GAACUGCGAUAAGUAAUGUGAAUUGCAGAAUUCAGUGAAUCAUCGAGUCUUUGAACGCACAUUGCGCCCCCUGGCAUUCCGGGGGGCAUGCCUGUCCGAGCGUCAUUGCUGCCCUUCAAGCCCGGCUUGUGUGUUGGGUCGUCGUCCCCCCCGGGGGACGGACCCGAAAGGCAGCGGCGGCACCGUGUCCGGUCCUCGAGCGUAUGGGGCUUUGUCACCCGCUCGAUUAGGACCGGCCGGGCGCCCGCCGGCGUCAAACCCCAAUCUUUCUAAGGUUGACCUCGGAUCAGGUAGGGAUACCAGCUGAACUUAAGC
RNAcentral lists this unclassified non-coding RNA (315 nucleotides) under plant metagenome. RNAcentral's name for it is "partial contains 5.8S ribosomal RNA, internal transcribed spacer 2, and large subunit ribosomal RNA". The stretch from base 1 to 105 matches the Rfam family "5.8S ribosomal RNA", at positions 50 to 154 of the family's 154-position model. The record is from RNAcentral.